UAACUUGAAAUUUAAAAAAUUUGGCGGUACUUUAAUCUUUUCAGAGGAACCUGUUCUAUAAUUGAUAAUCCACGAUUGUUUAAACUUAUUUUAAAAAUUUGUAUAUCGUCGUAAUUUAAGUAUUUUAGGAGAAUAUAAAUAUUUAAGAUUUAAUAUUAUAAAGAAAAUCAGAUCAAGGUGCAGUUUAUAGAUAAGUAGAAAUGGGUUACAAUAAAUUUAUUUAUACGGAUUAUGAAUUUAAAAUUUGUAUGAAGGUGGAUUUGAAAGUAAUAUAAUUAGCUUUUUUUAUAUGAUUUAGGCUCUAAAGUAUGCACAUAUUGCCCGUCGCUUCCAUUUAAGGUGGAAUAAGUCGUAACAAAGUAGAUGUACUGGAAAGUGUAUCUAGAAUGACAAGUUAAAGCUUAUUAAGCAUUUUAUUUACAUUAAAAAGAUAGUUGUGAAAAUCAAUUUAAUUUGAAUUGACUAAAUUAUUUAAGUUAUUAUUUAAUUUAUUUUCAUUAAAAUAAUAGUUGAUUUUAUUAUAAAUUUUAAACAAUAAUAUUAAUUAUAGAGUAUUAGUAUAGUGAUAUAAAUUUGAAAUAAGUGAAAAUUUAAAUUAUUGAAAGAAGAAUUAGAAUUUUGUACCUUGUGUAUCAGGGUUUAUUAAAUAAUAAUUUUUUAUUUAAAUAAUCUCGAAAUUUUAAGGGCUAAAAAUUUAUUAAUUUUAAUGUGAAAUAAUUAUUUUUAAUAUUUUUUUAGAAAUGAAACGUUAUUCGUUUAAAAUUAUAUCUAGUUUUUUGAGAAAUAAAUUUAAUUUAAUUAUUAUAUUAUAUUUAAUUGAUUGUUUAAUUUUAUGUAUAUAAUAUUUUAUAUUUUAAGGGAUAAGCUUUGAAAUUUAAAUUUAUAAAUAAGUGUAUAAUUUAAUAAUUGUAGAAUUAUAAGUUUUUAUUAUUUGUAGUGUGUUAUAACUAUUAUUAAAGUUGAUAUAAUUUAUAUUUGUUUUAAUUUUUAUAUCAAAAUAACUGAAUAAAUAAAUUGUUUAGUGUAAUAAUGAUAAAAUUAGUAUAAAUUGAUUUAUAAAUAUUUUAAAAAUUUUAGGUUAGGUUAAGGAAUUCGGCAAAUAUAAUUUUCGCCUGUUUAUUAAAAACAUGUCUUUUUGAUUAUGAUUUAAAGUCUAAUCUGCCCAAUGAUGAUUUGAAUGGCCGCAGUAUUUUGACUGUGCAAAGGUAGCAUAAUAAUUAGUUUUUUAAUUGAAAGCUGGUAUGAAUGAUUGGACGAGAAAUUAGCUGUCUCAAUUUAAAUUAUUUAGAAUUUUAUUUUUAAGUUAAAAAGCUUAAAUUUAUAUAAAAGACGAGAAGACCCUAUAGAGUUUAAUAAUUUUGUGAUUUUAAAUUUUUAGAAUUCUAUAUUUUAAAUUAUUAUUAUUAUUUGGUUGGGGUGACUAGAAAAUUAAAUCGCAACCUUUCUUUUUUUAAGAC
This 1457-nucleotide ribosomal RNA is filed under the name Pterorthochaetes sp. NLG-2014. RNAcentral describes it as "partial 16S ribosomal RNA". Lineage: Eukaryota; Metazoa; Arthropoda; Insecta; Coleoptera; Hybosoridae. The record is from RNAcentral.